UUAAUUCUCGCGCUUCGGCCAGAAUCAGAUUCUAAUAGUGAAUCCACGCGAUCUGUCGCUUCGGUCAGAACCCGAUUCGGAUAACGAAUCCACGCAUUCUGUUGCUUCGACCAGAAUCAGAUUCUAAUAGUGAAUCCACGCAUUCUGUCUCUUCGGCCAGAAUCCACACAGCAAAAGUCGCUCUUGAUCAGAGUAGGACUAUAAACAUGUAGUUCCAUUGGCCUAGAACUAGAUUCUGAUAGUGAAUCAGUCCAUCUGAUAGUGCAUGGACCACGCGGAGUCAUUAGUGUCGCUGUGAGCACAAUGACUCAAUCCCAUCUUGUCACUUCCUGCCUUGAUGGGGACUACCUUACUCGGGGGGGGGAUACUGAGGCUACACGGGUGUUUUGCCAUGCUCUCUUCAGGAGGAGUACUGGUGAGACAUGCUUGAUCACGUCAGUCACUCCCAGCAACGCCCUUCGACAAGGACUAGGGUUCCGUCGCUUUAUGCCAGACCCCCGGAGAGUUCCACGAAUUCGGAAGG
This 523-nucleotide long non-coding RNA is filed under the name Zostera marina. RNAcentral's name for it is "long non-coding RNA (ZMAR_LNC004299)". Lineage: Eukaryota; Viridiplantae; Streptophyta; Magnoliopsida; Alismatales; Zosteraceae. The record is from RNAcentral.